This 301-nucleotide ribosomal RNA is filed under the name uncultured bacterium. RNAcentral's name for it is "partial 16S ribosomal RNA". It matches the Rfam family "Bacterial small subunit ribosomal RNA", at positions 509 to 807 of the family's 1533-position model. The record is from RNAcentral.
CAGCAGCCGCGGGAAUACGAAGGGUGCAAGCGUUACUCGGAAUUACUGGGCGUAAAGCGUGUGUAGGUGGUUGUUUAAGUCUGUCGUGAAAGCCCUGGGCUCAACCUGGGAAUUGCGAUGGAUACUGGGCGACUAGAGUGCGGUAGAGGAUAGUGGAAUUUCCGGUGUAGCAGUGAAAUGCGUAGAGAUCGGAAGGAACAUCUGUGGCGAAGGCGACUAUCUGGGCCAACACUGACACUGAGACACGAAAGCGUGGGGAGCAAACAGGAUUAGAUACCCCGGUAGUCCCUGUCUCUUAUAC